This 451-nucleotide ribosomal RNA is filed under the name uncultured soil bacterium. Its description in RNAcentral is "bacterial SSU rRNA". It matches the Rfam family "Bacterial small subunit ribosomal RNA", at positions 26 to 522 of the family's 1533-position model. The record is from RNAcentral.
AGAGCGAACGCUGGCGGCAGGCCUAACACAUGCAAGUCGAACGGACUCUUCGGGGUUAGUGGCGGACGGGUGAGUAACACGUGGGAACGUGCCUUUAGGUUCGGAAUAGCUCCUGGAAACGGGUGGUAAUGCCGAAUGUGCCCUUCGGGGGAAAGAUUUAUCGCCUUUAGAGCGGCCCGCGUCUGAUUAGCUAGUUGGUGAGGUAAAGGCUCACCAAGGCUACGAUCAGUAGCUGGUCUGAGAGGAUGACCAGCCACAUUGGGACUGAGACACGGCCCAAACUCCUACGGGAGGCAGCAGUGGGGAAUCUUGCGCAAUGGGCGAAAGCCUGACGCAGCCAUGCCGCGUGAAUGAUGAAGGUCUUAGGAUUGUAAAAUUCUUUCAGUAGGACGAUAAUGACGGUACCUACAAGAAGAAGCCCCGGCUAAACUUCGUAGCCAGCCAAGCCGAC